RNAcentral lists this ribosomal RNA (473 nucleotides) under uncultured bacterium. RNAcentral describes it as "partial 16S ribosomal RNA". It matches the Rfam family "Bacterial small subunit ribosomal RNA", at positions 28 to 523 of the family's 1533-position model. The record is from RNAcentral.
GACGAACGCUGGCGGCGUGCUUAACACAUGCAAGUCGAACGGUAAGGCCCUUCGGGGUACACGAGUGGCGAACGGGUGAGUAACACGUGGGUGAUCUGCCCUGCACUUCGGGAUAAGCCUGGGAAACUGGGUCUAAUACCGGAUAGGACCUCUGCCUGCAUGGGUGGUGGUGGAAAGCUUUUGCGGUGUGGGAUGGGCCCGCGGCCUAUCAGCUUGUGUGUGGGGUGAUGGCCUACCAAGGCGACGACGGGUAGCCGGCCUGAGUGGGUGACCGGCCACACUGGGACUGAGAUACGGCCCAGACUCUUACGGGAGGCAGCAGUGGGGAAUAUUGGACGAUGGGCACGAGCGUGAUGCAGCGACGCCGCGUGAGGGAUGACGGGCUUCGGGUUGUAAACUGAUUUUAUGUGCGAAGAAUUUGACUGUACCACAUGAAUAAGGAUCGGCUAACUACGUGCCAGCCGCCGCGGUAA